UGUAAGAGCUGCCGCAGGCUGCGAUCUAUUGAUCUUGAUAUUCAAAAAAAGAUCAAAAGAUCGCAGCCUUCGGCAGCUCCUGCA
This 84-nucleotide non-coding RNA is filed under the name Pseudomonas sp. ok266. RNAcentral also lists the same sequence under 1 other name. The record is from RNAcentral. Lineage: Bacteria; Pseudomonadati; Pseudomonadota; Gammaproteobacteria; Pseudomonadales; Pseudomonadaceae.